ACAGACUGAGUGGCUUAUCCCACCAUUCUAGCAAGAUGAAAGUCCAGAAGAAAGCUAUAGGAUGCAAGCUCUAGUUUACACACACUUCUAAAAUUUCUGCUCUGGAGACACAGGAUUUCUACAGUCAAGCAGACAGUGUUGUCGUUGUGGUUGCCCAGUGGAGAUGUCUAUGUCAAAAGGUGUUCCAGUUUGGACCUUACACAUAACCAAAUGUUCAUAUAGCAAAGACUUUGUGCCAACUGAAGCCUGUUCAGAGAUACAACCAUUUAUUUAGGUAACAGGAUCAGGAGAGCCCAAACCUAUGUGGAUAUGCAGAUCUGAAUGAGACAAGAUUGAGACUGCCCUGGAACAGAGCACAAGAACGGAACACAGGAGCAUGGGGAAAAACCCUUUAACCUUAACUUUAGUGUUUUGAGUUACAGAAGUAAAACAGCUUUGCUUUACCGUGUCCUUCAUCCCAUCAUGUUUAUGUUCUACUAUGACCUCAGCUCACGAAAGCCAGCUAGUUGUCGACUUGAUCAUCUGUAAUGUUUGUCCUUUAUACCAGAGAUUGUGUCUGUAUUAGUGGGUGUUGUAUUACUGUGAGGAGAUACCAUAACCAAAGCAACUGUAAUAAAGGAAAGUCUGCACUGAAACCACAGCAGGAAUUACAAUGACCAUGGUCUAUGAAUGGGCCACAGGGGAUAGAGCCAAUGAGUUCAUUUUAAACAAGAGUCUCCAAGAAGGCUUCUUGACAAGGCAAGACAAUUUGGAGUUCAUCAAUAUGUAUUACCAAGGACUUUUAUAAAAGGCACUUCAAAGAAAAUUCAUCAGGCAUUCCUUUUGUCUUGAUUUCUGUUAGACUGAUACUUCCUUUUGACAAGUAUCAAUAAAUUAUCCUCUGAUGGCUAG
Long non-coding RNA from Mus musculus (house mouse), 891 nucleotides. RefSeq annotates it as RIKEN cDNA 4930556G01 gene. The record is from RefSeq and is marked predicted. The transcript has 7 exons. NCBI's taxonomy places the organism in Eukaryota, Metazoa, Chordata, Mammalia, Rodentia, Muridae.